ACGCUGGCGGCGUBCCUAAUACAUGCAAGUCGAGCGGAUCUUGUUAAAAAGCUUGCUUUUUAACUUGGUUAGCGGCGGACGGGUGAGUAACACGUGGGCAACCUGCCUGUAAGACGGGGAUAACUCCGGGAAACCGGAGCUAAUACCCGAUACCACUUUCUUUCGCAUGAGAGGAAGAGGAAAGACUGAGAGUCGCUUACAGAUGGGCCCGCGGCGCAUUAGCUAGUUGGUGGGGUAAAGGCCUACCAAGGCGACGAUGCGUAGCCGACCUGAGAGGGUGAUCGGCCACACUGGGACUGAGACACGGCCCAGACUCCUACGGGAGGCAGCAGUAGGGAAUCUUCGGCAAUGGACGAAAGUCUGACCGAGCAACGCCGCGUGAGUGAAGACGGUCUUCGGAUUGUAAAGCUCUGUCAUCAGGGAAGAACGACCUGGGUAAGACCUAGGAGUGACGGUACCUGAGGAGGAAGCCCCGGCUAACUACGUGCCAGCAGCCGCGGUAAUACGUAGGGGGCAAGCGUUGUCCGGAAUUAUUGGGCGUAAAGCGCGCGCAGGUGGUGGUUUAAGUCUGAUGUGAAAGCCCACGGCUCAACCGUGGAAGGUCAUUGGAAACUGGAUCACUUGAGUGCAGGAGAGGAAAGUGGAAUUCCACGUGUAGCGGUGAAAUGCGUAGAUAUGUGGAGGAACACCAGUGGCGAAGGCGACUUUCUGGCCUGUAACUGACACUGAGGCGCGAAAGCGUGGGGAGCAAACAGGAUUAGAUACCCUGGUAGUCCACGCCGUAAACGAUGAGUGCUAGGUGUUAGGGGUUUCGACGCCCGUAGUGCCGCAGUUAACGCAAUAAGCACUCCGCCUGGGGAGUACGGUCGCAAGACUGAAACUCAAAUGAAUUGACGGGG
Molecule: ribosomal RNA, 899 nt
Filed under: uncultured Bacillota bacterium
Lineage: Bacteria; Bacillati; Bacillota
Description: bacterial SSU rRNA
Rfam family: Bacterial small subunit ribosomal RNA
Source: RNAcentral